This 253-nucleotide ribosomal RNA is filed under the name uncultured bacterium. Its description in RNAcentral is "partial 16S ribosomal RNA". It matches the Rfam family "Bacterial small subunit ribosomal RNA", at positions 524 to 776 of the family's 1533-position model. The record is from RNAcentral.
UACGGAGGGGGCUAGCGUUGUCCGGAAUUACUGGGCGUAAAGGGUGCGUAGGCGGCUAUCCAAGUCAGACGUGAAAGGCCUGGGCUCCACCCGGGAACUGCGUUUGAGACUGGGUGGCUGGAGUCCGGGAGAGGUGAGCGGAAUUCCCAGUGUAGAGGUGAAAUUCGUAGAUAUUGGGAAGAACACCGGUGGCGAAGGCGGCUCACUGGACCGGUACUGACGCUGAGGCACGAAAGCGUGGGGAGCAAACAGG